AAUUAGUUUGUCUACUUUGGUUUUACAGAGUUUCGUCUUCUUUCCACUUUCAUGUGGAUGCUGCUUUUAAGCAGUCGAAGAAGGAACGCGCUUUUUAAAAAGACAUUUAUGCGCCACAGAUGGCGUCUCAUGCCGUAUUCCAGCUAAAAGAUAGUUUCAGGUAUUAAAAGGAGCCAUUUUCUACCGGACGAUUCACGCCAGUGACGCAUCAGUUGAAACCCAUUUUCAGGACAUUUUACAUCCACUUGGGCAGUCAGAACUUGAGAGCUGGGGUUAAAUGUAAUCCAAACUCUGCAUGGAUACCAGGAA
Poecilia latipinna (sailfin molly) is the source of this 309-nucleotide long non-coding RNA. RefSeq lists it as uncharacterized. Lineage: Eukaryota; Metazoa; Chordata; Actinopteri; Cyprinodontiformes; Poeciliidae. The transcript has 3 exons. The record is from RefSeq and is a predicted model, not a curated record.